GAUGAACGCUGGCGGCGUAGAUAAGACAUGCAAGUCGAACGGGAUUAAGAUGGUUAGCAAUAACUGACUUAGUCUAGUGGCGAAAGGGUGCGUAACACGUGAGAAUCUACCGAGAAGAAGGGGAUAGCUCGUCGAAAGGCGAAUUAAUACCCUAUGUUGUCGCAAGACCAAAGUGGGGGACCGCAAGGCCUCACACUCCUCGAGGAGCUCGCGGCCUAUCAGCUAGUUGGCGAGGUAAAAGCUCACCAAGGCAAUGACGGGUAGCUGGUCUGAGAGGACGACCAGGCACACUGGAACUGAGACACGGUCCAGACACCUACGGGUGGCAGCAGUCGAGAAUUUUUCACAAUGGGCGAAAGCCUGAUGGAGUGACGCCGCGUGGAGGAUGAAGGCCUUCGGGUCGUAAACUCCUGUCACUGCAGAACAAAUGCGGACGGUAAACAAUCGUCCGUCUUGAUUGUAUGCGGAGAGGAAGAGACGGCUAA
RNAcentral lists this ribosomal RNA (485 nucleotides) under uncultured bacterium. RNAcentral's name for it is "partial 16S ribosomal RNA". It matches the Rfam family "Bacterial small subunit ribosomal RNA", at positions 28 to 500 of the family's 1533-position model. The record is from RNAcentral.